This 234-nucleotide non-coding RNA is filed under the name Staphylococcus aureus. It matches the Rfam family "S. aureus tsr24 small RNA". Lineage: Bacteria; Bacillati; Bacillota; Bacilli; Caryophanales; Staphylococcaceae. The record is from RNAcentral.
AACAUAUCACGAAAUAUCAUUUUGAGGAAUUCUAACAGAAGUUUCUAUUGGUAGUGUAAGUUGGACAAAGUGUCUUAUUUUUUAAAGUAUUUAAAAGUAAAAUUACAUGUUAAUACGUAGUAUUAAUGGCGAGACUCCUGAGGGAGCAGUGCCAGUCGAAGACCGAGGCUGAGACGGCACCCUAGGAAAGCGAAGCCAUUCAAUACGAAGUAUUGUAUAAAUAUAGAACAGCAG